AACAGUACGAAAUGCGACGCCACGCUGAAGUGCCGCGUUCGGAAAUGAAAGUGGCAACGAAAGUUUGAGAGACGCGCUGUGGAUGCUUUGUAACCGUCAUAAUAAAGUUAUCAUUGCGCGCGUAUGUGUGUGUGUGUGUGUGUUAGCACUCGGAUAUUAUUGUCACCGCCAGAUGAAAUGUGAUCCAUGUGUAUAUUAAUACGUCUUUGCCAGAAAAGGAGAGCGCAUUUUAAGACGGCCAACGCCGGGACGCGUGGUCCAUUAAUUUUCUUACGACGCGCGACGGACAAAACGCUAUAUUAAAACUUGUCGUACUCGCGUCGUAACUCUAUUUCGGUGCAACAUAGCGGCCAUUUUUCGUCCGAGGCGUGUCCGGAGCGUCGGGCACGUAUAGGCCAGACGCAUCAUGGAGGACGAGGACAGAGAUCCUUCGGCUUAGGUUUAUCCGUUUACCCGUCCGCUACCGUCCGCCCGCUUUUGCCCGGGCCUUUACUUGUUUUAAGUGAAGCGCGACGUGACCUACCGCAAUCCCCUCCGCGUACAAUCACAUCGGCUUCUGCGUACCGUCUCUCUCUCUCUCUCUUUCUCUCUCUCUCUCUCUCUCUCUCUCUCUCUCUCUCUCUCUGUCUCUCUCUCUCUCUCUCUCUCCGAACCAAUCUCUUUUGCGGAGACAUCCGACGGAAUAUCAGGAUAUUUCGAAAUCCCGCAGAUUCCGCUGGACGACUUUCAGAGACCCAUCCUGUUUCGUACGCGCGUGCGAGAGGAAGAUCUUACUUAGUCCAAAAAUAUAACCCGAAUAUCAUCUUCUCUCAAUCUGCGAUCUCUCUGAAAGUUUCAUACUUUGAGACUCGAGACGGCAAAGAGCACAUGUUCAACGUGAAGGCGUUAAUUAUUCAAGAAACAUUUCGACACCGAGAACGAGAGAGAGAGAGAGAGAGAGAGAGAGAAAGAGAGAAACAUUUUCGCGGUGCUCGCAAAAUGUAUCCGGCUCAAUCAGUCUCAAUCAGAGGUAUUUUAGCGACAAGCUGCACUGAAUAUGUCAUGCAUGCGACCUCCGUCCUCGUCAUCUUGAGCGAGAAGCUCUCGCUCGACGAACAAAAGGUCGGCGAUCGCGGAACGAUCGACCAUUGAAUUAUUCCGUCGUACCGCCUCGCUGUCGGGAUAGAUUUAUCUUUCCCACGGACAACGUCGCUAUCUCGAAUCCGUUACGGUAAUCUCGAAUUUCGAGAUUCGAAAUGGGAACUCUCCCCCCCCCCCACCCGGUCCCUCAUCUUCGCGGGAUAAACGAUAGCCGCUAGCGGACGCAAUAACAACGGCGUGUAUCGAUCUUCGUGAGCCGGCAUCUGGCACUAGGUCCAGUUGUGUUGCCGGGCUGAGAGCAUUAUUCUUGUUCACGCGGGACGACGAGGAAAUCAACAAGAAAACCGGAGGAAGCUUCUCCCGACCCGACCCGAGCCGAGCCGGCCCGGUCCGCCAGAUGCUGCUUUGCCGCCCGACCAUUUCUCAACGUGGCCGUGAUUACGCGCAUCGCUCCGCACUUACUACGACGAACUCAUGUUUUUUCCAUAGGCGGCAAAUUACAUAACGAGGUGCAGACACGUAAUACCCCCCGAACCCGAGGCGCGAAAUCACGGAAGGUCGACAACGGGGAAAAUCGAUUCCCGCCGAGUGAGCAAACUCGUGCACUUAUAACGCGCGAGAAUAAACUCAGAAAUCGCAGACGAUGCCGGCAGAAAAAGAGCACUAACUGGAAAGCGCAUCGCGUCCCAGACAGGGAUGAGAAAAAUGAGAAAAGAUUUGCCCGUUUUCCGCUUCAAAAGCGCCAGAUGUUCCCGCCACUCGGCCAUUUCUCAACGACAUCGUGAUUACACGCAUCACUUUGUAUUACCGCAACAUCACGUCUCUCGUUUUCUUAUUUAGCCGCCAAAUGCGCACGGCGUAAGCGUACAGAUAUAAUAACGGAUCUCUUAAAAUUCUUUUCUAUUAUGUAAUUAUAUUAAAAUUUGUGUUAAUAUUCCGCGAUUAUUUAAUCGCCUCGCCUCACGUCUAACUCGUGCGUUUCGUUGUUUGUGUGAACUAAAAUUCAAUAUCACCACACGGAGGCAUAAA
Molecule: long non-coding RNA, 2109 nt
Filed under: Harpegnathos saltator (Jerdon's jumping ant)
Lineage: Eukaryota; Metazoa; Arthropoda; Insecta; Hymenoptera; Formicidae
Description: uncharacterized LOC112590346, transcript variant X2
Source: RNAcentral